AUGAACGCUGGCGGCGUGCCUAAUACAUGCAAGUCGAGCGAACAGACGAGGAGCUUGCUCCUCUGACGUUAGCGGCGGACGGGUGAGUAACACGUGGAUAACCUACCUAUAAGACUGGGAUAACUUCGGGAAACCGGAGCUAAUACCGGAUAAUAUAUUGAACCGCAUGGUUCAAUAGUGAAAGACGGUUUUGCUGUCACUUAUAGAUGGAUCCGCGCCGCAUUAGCUAGUUGGUAAGGUAACGGCUUACCAAGGCAACGAUGCGUAGCGGACCUGAGAGGGUGAUCGGCCACACUGGAACUGAGACACGGUCCAGACUCCUACGGGAGGCAGCAGUAGGGAAUCUUCCGCAAUGGGCGAAAGCCUGACGGAGCAACGCCGCGUGAGUGAUGAAGGUCUUCGGAUCGUAAAACUCUGUUAUUAGGGAAGAACAAAUGUGUAAGUAACUAUGCACGUCUUGACGGUACCUAAUCAGAAAGCCACGGCUAACUACGUG
This 496-nucleotide ribosomal RNA is filed under the name uncultured bacterium. Its description in RNAcentral is "partial 16S ribosomal RNA". It matches the Rfam family "Bacterial small subunit ribosomal RNA", at positions 29 to 507 of the family's 1533-position model. The record is from RNAcentral.